UGGUUUAUUCACAUUAAGUAUCAUCAUUCAAACCUUCGCCAUGAACGGAAAGAUUGUUUUCGUCGCUCUCUUAGUAUUGACCUCCUGUCUUAUUGCUACCGCCGUGGCAGAACCCAAUCCUAUUCCGAGCCAUGACACCAUAAGUGUUAACCCUUCAAACACAGCUAGUAACACUGAUAGCCAAGACACCCAAGGCCAGCAAAGACAGAAGAAACAAGGAGGCAUAUAGUAAAUCUCGUAGAAGACACAAAAUGUAUCAAACAUGUGUUAAAAUCAAUAUUGAGAACCUUCCAUAAAAUAAACAAUAAAUUGUACAUAAAAAAAAGUUUUUUACUUAGUAAUUUCUCACAAAUUC
Molecule: long non-coding RNA, 355 nt
Organism: Pieris napi
Lineage: Eukaryota; Metazoa; Arthropoda; Insecta; Lepidoptera; Pieridae
Exons: 4
Source: RefSeq, a predicted model, not a curated record